Oreochromis aureus is the source of this 4708-nucleotide long non-coding RNA. The record is from Ensembl. NCBI's taxonomy places the organism in Eukaryota, Metazoa, Chordata, Actinopteri, Cichliformes, Cichlidae.
AAAAACUGAGCUCACAGACAGCUGCCUGUGUGACCUUUAAUAUGCAGCUUCUGCUCUAAAAAACAAAUAAAAAUAAAAAAAUGUGUAACUUGCUCAUCAGCUUGGUAGUGUCCACAUAUUUAAUUCAUUUUAUUCAGCUUCUCAAACCUGUAGCUUUAGCUGUUGUAUACAGGGUUUGGCUUAUUAGUUGUUAGUAUAGGUUUGCUCUUCAUCUUAACAAAGUCUCAUCUAAGAUGACAGGUUUACAAGCAGGUCAAGUGUCUCUAUGCACCUGAUUAGUGUAGUUAUUUCCUUAUUUUCUUCAUCUCCUAUAUCAUUGUACUGAGUUUGAGCAAACCUUAAGCUUGAAUCAGACUACUUUUAACAAUCUUCCACCUCACAUCAUAACUGACUGAGGUGCCUCUUCCUGUUAAUAGUAUGUCAUUAUUAAUGUUAUCAUUGUAUUGUUUUUCCUUUUUUAUAACAGCAAUAGUAUAUCACAAUACACUACUUUACUACUAAUAUACAAUAGUAUAUUAGUUUAUAUUUUAUUAUGUAUCCAUCAAAGGCCGAUGUGACCUGCAGUUUCACACCUUCCCAAGCUGGAGACAUUUUCCUUGGCUGAACAAUGACACAGCCUUAAUAUGCCUUAUGCAUCUCUCUUUUUUAUUUGAUAUAUUUGUGUGCGUAGGAGCCGACUUUGCUACCUGCACAGAGCGUUUCUGACAGUCGGGCGUUGCUUAUGCAAAAGAGAAAAGCAACAAUACAGCGUGUUUCUCGGCUCCAAGAUCCGCGGUCCUUUAACACAGCAAGCAUGUCUGUUAUAGGCUGGCUGGCUGUCAGCGCUGAUUAUUCAAAUCGUGUUUAAAACGUGACUCAUUUGUUGUCCAAAAACAUUUCCUCUAAAUUUGCACAGUUACUGAUUUAAAAAUAUAUAUUUUGGAAUUUUUAGCUGAGUGUCAAACAUAUGAUAGACUCUUGAGUAUAUUUAUAUAGCAAAAUUCACAAUGGUAUAACCAUGCUAGAUGCCCAAGUGUGCACCAAUGCACUCUAAUGCAAGCCUUUAAACUGUAUGUUGAUAAGUGCAUGAAGUUUACCUGACAUUUUCAUGACAAGUGAUAGCGCAGACAUCUGCUAAUGAGAGAACAUGUUUUUUCAUCAUAAAGAGUGAUAUGAAGCAUCGUUAGAAUAGAAGGCUGAUAUUCAAGCAGAAGAAAAUUAAAAGGUUUUUUUUGUGGCUCUACAGAUUAAAGAAAAAUAUGUUUAAUAAUUCAACAACAUCCACACCUUCAACACAUGUACAUUUAAAAUUUGGAACAGGAUCAGCGUUGCUGUUGUUUAAUGGGUUUUAAAAGGAAUCUGCAUUUAAAUAGAACAUAGUAGUGUAGGAAACACUAGUAUAAGGUGUCUUUGGAACAAAUGUCCUUUAACCUUCACCAUGACCAGAGUGGAUGACCACAGGCAUUUCUCUCACUCAACUGACUGUGUUUAGGGAAAAAGCAGCUAAAUACACUGAGUUUGCUCCACAUUGUUAGUGAGUUAACUCUGGAUGUCUGUAGGUUUUGUCAAACUUGGAUUGAACAAAAGCAGAAAAACAGUAAAAGACGCAGACAUGAAUACAAUGAAACAUUUUAGAGUCCACAGAGCAAAGUAGCAUACAUGAUAAAUAAAUACACAUAACAUGGACAGUGAGAAGUAAAACUCAUCGUCUUACCAGAUGUUAUAUUCUGUAAACUGAAAUUAGAGUUUAGUGUUUUAAGGCAUCUAUUAAAAAACAUGAGUCAACACUUCUCUCUCCCAGUAGCAUUACUGAAGUGACAUGUCUGUGAAGGUUCUCAGUCAUCCAGGUCAUCGUAGUCUAAGGACCUUGCAAAGAAAAGCGUCUGGAUUUCUUUAAGUUGCUUGAAGACAUUUCACCUCUCAUCUCAGUGUGCAAAUCUGAUCGGGUGUGAAGUUGGUCCUGUCUUCUGCCUCCUCUCUGACCUCUGCCUUACCACUACAUAUUUGAAAUACAACGAGGGUUUCUACAGACAAAAACAUGGCUGUGCCAUGGGCUGCCCCGUGCCACCUAUUGUAGCCAACCUUUACAUGGAAGAAGUGGAAAGAAAGGCUCUUGGCUCUUUUCAAGGGAGAGUACCCAGCCACUGGUACAGAUAUGUAGACGACACCUGGGUCAAAAUCAAAACACAAGAAGUGGAAUUCUUCACUGCUCACAUUAACGCUGUGGAUAAAAACAUCAAGUUCACCAGGGAAGACACAAAAGAUAACUGUUUGCCUUUCCUGGACUGUGCUGUGCACAUUGAAGAGAAUGGCAACCUCAACAUUUAAGUUUACCGGAAGCCCACACACACGGACCAGUACCUCCUCUUUGACUCCCAUCACCCUCUGGAACACAAACUUGGAGUAAUUAGGACCCUACACCACCGGGCAGAACAUGUUCCCUCUAAGCCUGAAGGGAAAAAGAAGGAACACACAAGUAAAGGAAGCACUUAAAACAUGCGGUUAUCCUAAUUGGGCGUUUAUAAAGUCAGCAAAGAUGCACAGAAAAGAAGAUCAGACACCAGCGAGGGAGGAUAAGAAAGACAGACACAACAACAUUGUCAUCCCCUAUGUAGCCGGUGUAUCAGAGAAACUCAGAGUAUUCUCCAAGCACGACAUCCCAGUGCAUUUCAGACCCAGCAACACCCUCAGACAAAAACUGGUUCACCUGAAAGACAAAACUCCAAAACACACACUUAACAAUGUGGUGUACGCUGUACAGUGUAGCUAGGAAUGCCCAGACCUCUACAUCAGAGAGACCAAACAGCCACUUCACAGGCGGAUAGUUUGAAAGAGGAGUGAAAGAAGCCAUUUAUGUCGACUGUGAGCGACCGUCUUUGAACAGAGGCGGUGGCUUACGACACCAACUGUCUGCCAUCUAUAAUCCAGUUUUGAGAUCCUUUCCCAGACGCCCUAACGCCCACUCACAUCCUGGGCCAUCUGACCUCAGGAAAUCACAUGAUAGGGUGGGGCUAGGUUUCACAAUGAGCUCACCCGAAACCCUGGCUGAUUGUGACCUACACCCGUUUUCACACCUUGGCUCAUGUGAUUAGGUAGAGAAUCAUCAGGGGGUCCUUUUGUCCCUCUUUGGGGGGAUACUCCCAUGGGGUUUAAAUCUGGGACUCUCCACCAUUUGACCAUAGAACUGAAGAAGCUUCUCGGAUGAGAGGUGAAACGUCUUCAAGCAACUCAAAGAAGUCCAGACGCUUUUCUUUGCAAACUCCUUUGACUACGAUGACCUGGAUGACUGAGAACCUUCACAGACAUAAACAUGGAGGUGAAAAGUUUUUCUAGUUUUGGCCCUCUUAAAUUCAACAGAAUUGAAAUAUAUUUCAGUCUGCAGAAUGUCUUCUUACAAAGAUCUUUGCAAGAUCUUAUCCUUCCUGUUUUGUUUGUCUCCUUAUUUAUGAAGAAUGAGUCUUCUAUUAUUCACACUUAGCUGGCAGGAAGAACAUGUACACCACUACUUUCCAACGCUCAUAUCUGUGUGGGUUUCUUCUCCUACCCUGUAGCUCACAUCUUAGUGUCCACACAGAUAGUGCCACCUUGUAGUCUCGCAUGGAACUAUAUUACCUUUACAGCAACAGCUUCUGAUCAUUACAUCUUCGACCCCUUUUAAAAAAAAUAAACAUAUCACCAAACAUAUGUGCCUCAAACAACAAACAUUAAACAUAUGGCAGAUGGCAUCGGAAUAACCUUUUUUUUUUUUUUUUUAAUCAUUAUCAUUAUUAUUUUCUUCUAACAAACCGGCCCUAGACUAUAAAACUCGGCCCUUAUCUCUCCUCCAUUCGCAGGCUGAGCACCGGCUCCCCUCCUGUAUUCUCUCUACACCUAUGACUGCAGUUCGACCCACAACAACACUCUCAUCAUCAAGUUUGCUGAUGACACCACAGUAGUCGGACUCAUCUCAAAGGGAGACGAGGCAGACUACAGAGAGGAAGCCCUGAAGUUGGCAGCACGGUGUUCAGAAAACAACCUGGCACUGAACAGUAAGAAAACCAAAGAGGUCAUUGUCGACUGCAGGAGGCACAGCACUGACUUAGCCCCCCUUUACACCAACAGGGAGUGUGUGGAGAGGGUCCACACCUUCCGGUUCCUUGGUGUCCUCAUCUCUGCUGACAUCACCUGGACAGACAACAUCUCAGCGGUCGUCAAGAAGGCCCAACAGCGGCUGCACUUCCUGACGGUACUCAGGAAGUACAAGCUGAACUCCAACCUGCUGCUGACCUUCUGCUGCUCGUCCAGCCUAAAAACAUACUGCAUCACGGUAUGGUACAGUAGCUUCACUAAGACGGAUAGAGCGAGGCUUCAGAGUGUGGUCAUGACUGCACAAAAGAUCAUCGGCUGCCCUCUCCCCUCCCUGAUGGACAUUUAUUCCUCCCGCUGCCUCAGCAGAGCAGCAAACAUUAUCAAGGACAGCUCCCACCCUGGCUUCAACAUGUUCAGCCUGCUUCCCUCAGGGAAGUGCUACAGGUGCAUCAGCACAUUCUUCCCAAAGGCCAUAACCACCCUGAACUCACAUAUGCAGCCUCUCCCCCCAAUUUUUCUCAUUUCCUCUAUGAACCACCACUCUGCAAUACAAAGUUCUAUGUGCAAUAAUCUCAAUUGUAUAUGCAUAACACUAUUUAUUACAUAUUACUUUUUAAAACUUGUACAUUUCAUAUAUUUUUUCUCUGUUAAUACUGUCCAU